AUGUUUUGCAAACAUUUUCUCCUGUGCUCAGGGUGUGUUUACACUUUCUUGAUGAUGUCCUUUGAAGCACAAAAAAUUUUAAUUUUGAUGAAGUCCACUUUACCUAUUUUUUCUUUUGUUGCCUGUGCUUUUUAUCUAGUGCCUGCCUGUCUUCAUCUUGCUCAAAUGUUACUUCCUCAGGAAGCUCCCAUUCCUUUGGUGUAUGCUCUCACAACCAUCUUUGUUACUACAGAUUUGUUGUUUCUCAGCCUGUCAUCAGCUUCAACUGCUGCAUCUCAAUUUCAGCUCCACAGGAGAGUGAAUCUGAUAAUGAUUCAGUUCAGACAUGGUUGAUUCUCUUGGGCAAAGCUCUUGUGCCAGACUACAUCAUAGUCAUCCAUUCAUUUGUUUAUUUAACAACUAUGCAUAGGCCACUAGCCAGCCUCUAGAUUGUCUCUCUAUAAGGUAGGUGCCCAAUCGUGAUCUAAUAGCUAUGUUUGUGUGGAGUGGAGGACAAGGUCAUAGAGUGGUGAGAGGAUGGGAAUCUAUUUUUUUAUGUUUAUUCAUUUUGAGAGAGAGAGAGAAUGAGCAGGGGAGAGGGAGAGAGACAGAAUCCCAGGCAGGCUUCAAGCUGCCAGGGCAGAGCCAAAUGCGGGGCUCGAACCCACUAAACAUGAGAUCAUGACCUGAGCCGAAAUGAAGAGUUGGAUGCUUAACCAACUGAGCCACCCAGGCACCCCAGGAUGGAGAUGCAUAUUUCAGAAACUGGGGGCUAUGGACAUACCAUGCAUUCUACCCCAUGGCCAGUUCAGGGGGAUAAUAAUUUGUUUCAGCAAGGCGUUUGACAGAUAUAGUUGAAAACAAUUCAAAAUUAACAAUCCUGGUAUUGAGAGAGUGAUAUUUUGUAUUACUUGUCAGCAAGAGUAUCUUUUGUUUGAGAUGGGAGUAUUGAAGGUGAUAGUUAACUUGGGGGGGGGCAGAGGGAGGGGGAGAAGAGUUUAUUUUAACAUGAGAACUAAAGAGUGAUUCUUUUCUGCUGUGAUGUGUGGUUGUAGGAGCAACUACGAGAAGGUGAAGAUUCCAGAGGAAAUUCUAUCCCCUAAAGCCAUGAUAUCGAUAAUUUUGGUCUGGAAGAUAUUCUGAGGAAAGAAGCUUAGAAAUGUUUGAUUUUUGAGCAUGAAUUAAUGUAUAGUUCAUAAAUUAAAUAAACGGAUUCACUAAGUAAUUGUUGAGAGUAUC
Molecule: long non-coding RNA, 1218 nt
Filed under: Felis catus (domestic cat)
Lineage: Eukaryota; Metazoa; Chordata; Mammalia; Carnivora; Felidae
Description: lncRNA (ENSFCAG00000049398.1)
Source: RNAcentral